This is a long non-coding RNA of Poecilia latipinna (sailfin molly), 877 nucleotides long. RefSeq lists it as uncharacterized. The transcript has 2 exons. The record is from RefSeq and is a predicted model, not a curated record. NCBI's taxonomy places the organism in Eukaryota, Metazoa, Chordata, Actinopteri, Cyprinodontiformes, Poeciliidae.
UCGUUGUCUUUUUUUUAACAACUUGCAUCUUUGAGAAUAACAGUUAAAACAAGAAUGCCUAAAAAUGCACCAAGAAAUCAUCUAGUGUUUGAAAAUAGACAAUUGUCAUAUUUUCCUGAUCACUGACCUGUCAGUAAUAAACUCAAAAAUCAGAUCUUAUGCCCAACAGUGAAUGCACCAGACAUACACGCUACCCUGCUGCUGUAAAAAGAACAAAAAAAAAAAAAAAAAAAACAUUUGGUACAGAUUAUUCAGAAAAGGAAACUCGAAGCCAUUUUCAGUAUCGGUGAAAUGUUUAAAAAUAAAGUCAGAGGAAGCACAAAGAUUUUAUCCAUUCAGACUGUGAGAGAGCAAAACUUCCAGCAGUUUACGGAAAGGCUGAGCAAAAUGCAGAAAAGCUUUUCCAAAUCUGACUGCUUUGGAACAUACUGAAGCCUUUUGGAAAUUCAUAGCUAAGGUGAGAAUCUAGGGAAUUCAGGGAAUACACAAUGAGACAGCCUUUUUGGCAUCCGUAGUCAGGAUUUUUGAAGACAAAAUAUACAAAAAAAGGGAUGACUCCAGAUUUUCACAGCAGUGUACUUAAAGACAAAAAAAAAAAAAAAAAAAAAAAAAAUACCUACACUAAUAAAUUCCUUCUUCACCUGUAAACUAAUGCGCCUCUGCCUUGAAUCUGUCCACUUCAGUCAGGUUAAAAACUGUGCCGCUGAAUAGCUGGCACAUUGACGAGCAUAUUGUCAGAGUCAAGAUGUCAGAGUGUUUCAUCAGUGUCAAGCAUCUCACAUUCCAACGAUAGCCAACGUUUACAUCCAGUGCAAAUGUUCCUUUUUUUUUUUUUUAAGCACCUUUUCGGACCAAAAUGAAACACAAAAUUACCCCA